Molecule: transfer RNA, 83 nt
Filed under: Bacteroidota bacterium
Lineage: Bacteria; Pseudomonadati; Bacteroidota
Description: Bacteroidetes bacterium (sediment metagenome) tRNA-Leu
Rfam family: tRNA
About the family: Transfer RNA (tRNA) molecules are approximately 80 nucleotides in length. Their secondary structure includes four short double-helical elements and three loops (D, anti-codon, and T loops).
Source: RNAcentral
GCGGGAGUGGCGGAAUGGUAGACGCGUUGGUCUCAAACACCAAUAACUUCACGGUUGUGCGGGUUCGAGUCCCGCCUCCCGCA